CGCCUCUUGACCAUAAGAGGUCCAGCCUGCCCAGUGAAAUUAACGGCCGCGGUAUCCUAACCGUGCAAAGGUAGCAUAAUCACUCGUUUUUUAAAUAAAGACUAGUAUGAAUGGCACCACGAAAAUUAAACUGUCUCUUUUUUUUAAUCAGUGAAACUAAUCUUCCUGUGAAAAAGCAGGAAUAACCAUAUAAAAAAGACCCUGGAACUUUAAACUUUACUAGUAGUUUUCGGUUGGGGCGACCUUGGAGAACAAUUCACCCUCCAAAUUGACCUAAGCAAAAAGUCACAACUUUACGCAUCAAUAAAUUGACAUCCAUUGACCCAGUAAUCCUGAUCAACGAACCAAGCUACCCCAGGGAUAACAGCGCAAUCUUCUUCUAGAGCCCGUAUCGCCAAGAAGGUUUACGACCUCGAUGUUGGAUCAGGGUACCCAAGGAGUGCAGCCGCCCCUAAAGGUUCGUUUGUUCAACGAUUAA
This 478-nucleotide ribosomal RNA is filed under the name Noblella sp. ZSFQ 2502. RNAcentral describes it as "partial large subunit ribosomal RNA". It matches the Rfam family "Bacterial large subunit ribosomal RNA", at positions 1817 to 2591 of the family's 2925-position model. Lineage: Eukaryota; Metazoa; Chordata; Amphibia; Anura; Craugastoridae. The record is from RNAcentral.